GAAAUAUAAAAUAUUAAGCUUCUAACUUAAUUUCUAGUGUUAACUCAUUAAUAUUUCU
RNAcentral lists this transfer RNA (58 nucleotides) under Abaria herringbona. Its description in RNAcentral is "tRNA-Ser". Lineage: Eukaryota; Metazoa; Arthropoda; Insecta; Trichoptera; Xiphocentronidae. The record is from RNAcentral.